AUGAUUUUUUAAGUGCGUGCAUGUUUUGUAAGCAUUUAAGUGUGUAGAGGCGUCACGUACGUGGUCUGGCUAGCUGUUAUCUAACAUAAUUUUGGUGUAAUCACAUGUGGUUUUUAUGUGUGAUUUAGUGUUACACAUUUUCACUUAGUUUACUUAUAUUCUGGUGUUUUAAGUGCGCGGUUGGAAUUAUAUAAGUGUAUAGCUGUCACGUAGUCUGUGUGUGGCCUGGUAACAUCGCGGCUGAGGUGUAAUUAUGUAAUUUUUAUAUAUUGGAGGUUUUUAGGCCUGACAGACAGUAAGUAGCUUUAUCUAUAAUAAGAGGAUGGCAUUAUAAAGUAAGAAUCCAGGAACUUGUAAGUCUUUUUUUUUCCACUGACAGAAUGACAAAGACAACAGCUUCAAACAGUGGGAUCCCUGCAAUGGACAUUAGUGUAUCAUUUGAUGGCACAUACGUCAUUCUACGCAUCAGCUGUUCUCUGGAGCUGCAGAAUACAAUUUCCACCAUAAUUAACUACAUAUCCCAAGGGUGUGAAUGCCAUAAUCCUUGGUGUAGCUGUACUUGCCCUUGCUUCUGUACCUGCCUGCCAUUCUGGUUUCAAGUAAACGAGUUUUUUUAAGAUGUCAUUUGUAGUUGUGGAGUUUCUGGAUGAAAAGGCAGUUGAAGUUGUUCCCAAGUCAUGGAUAAUGCAUAAAGAAAAAGGUCUGUUUUGUUACUGGCCUCCAAGGGCAGGUGCUGCAGCCAAGGUGAAAAAGGAAGAAAUCCCAGAUAAAGAAAAAUGGAAUUCAUACGAGAUAAGGAUUUU
Long non-coding RNA from Eriocheir sinensis (Chinese mitten crab), 803 nucleotides. RefSeq lists it as uncharacterized. NCBI's taxonomy places the organism in Eukaryota, Metazoa, Arthropoda, Malacostraca, Decapoda, Varunidae. The record is from RefSeq and is a predicted model, not a curated record. The transcript is spliced from 3 exons.